RNAcentral lists this non-coding RNA (228 nucleotides) under Streptomyces violaceus subsp. violarus. RNAcentral's name for it is "sRNA 4677". It matches the Rfam family "Streptomyces sRNA 4677". From Rfam's summary of the family: Located in the intergenic region between anti-sigma factor SCO4677 gene and a putative regulatory protein gene SCO4676. scr4677 expression requires the SCO4677 activity and scr4677 sRNA itself seem to affect the levels of the SCO4676-associated transcripts. Lineage: Bacteria; Bacillati; Actinomycetota; Actinomycetes; Kitasatosporales; Streptomycetaceae. The record is from RNAcentral.
UGACCCGGCAGGUCCCGACACCAAAACCAAAAGAACCGGGAAAAGAACCAACCCACCCCCACCGCCCCCGCAGCUCACCCGCAGGGGUGAACAUCGCCAACUCGGCUGGCGUGGAGGGGAGUCGAUAGUGCAGCGUCAGCGCAGACAACCGCACAAACGAAUACGGCCCCCGCCGGGACUGGCAUCCCACUGCGAGGGCCUGAUCACCUAGGAAGAAGCACCUUCCCG